Molecule: ribosomal RNA, 253 nt
Filed under: uncultured bacterium
Lineage: Bacteria
Description: partial 16S ribosomal RNA
Rfam family: Bacterial small subunit ribosomal RNA
Source: RNAcentral
UACGUAGGGUGCAAGCGUUGUCCGGAAUUAUUGGGCGUAAAGAGCUUGUAGGCGGUCUGUCGCGUCGAUUGUGAAAUCUUGCAGCUCAACUGCAAGCCUGCAGUCGAUACGGGCAGACUAGAGUACUUCAGGGGAGACUGGAAUUCCUGGUGUAGCGGUGAAAUGCGCAGAUAUCAGGAGGAACACCGGUGGCGAAGGCGGGUCUCUGGGAAGUAACUGACGCUGAGAAGCGAAAGCGUGGGUAGCGAACAGG